This 467-nucleotide ribosomal RNA is filed under the name uncultured bacterium. RNAcentral's name for it is "bacterial SSU rRNA". It matches the Rfam family "Bacterial small subunit ribosomal RNA", at positions 30 to 490 of the family's 1533-position model. The record is from RNAcentral.
AUUGAACGCUGGCGGCAUGCCUUACACAUGCAAGUCGAACGGCAGCGGGCCUUCGGGUGCCGGCGAGUGGCGAACGGGUGAGUAAUGCAUCGGAACGUGCCAUUGAGUGGGGGAUAACGUAGCGAAAGUUACGCUAAUACCGCAUAUUCUGUGAGCAGGAAAGCAGGGGACCGCAAGGCCUUGCGCUCUUUGAGCGGCCGAUGUCAGAUUAGCUAGUUGGUGAGGUAAAGGCUUACCAAGGCGACGAUCUGUAGCGGGCCUGAGAGGAUGAUCCGCCACACUGGAACUGAGACACGGUCCAGACUCCUACGGGAGGCAGCAGUGGGGAAUUUUGGACAAUGGGCGCAAGCCUGAUCCAGCCAUGCCGCGUGAGUGAAGAAGGCCUCGGUUGUAAGCGUCUUUCGGCCGGGUAAGGAAAUACGCAUGGGUUAAGUACCCUGUGUGGAUGACGGUACCGGAAUAAGAAG